AACGAACGCUGGCGGCAUGCCUAACACAUGCAAGUCGAACGAGACCUCCGGGUCUUGUGGCGCACGGCUGCGUAACGCGUGGGAACCUGCCCUUAGGUUCGGAAUACCUCCCCGACAGGGGUGCUAAUACCGGAUAAUGUCUUCGGACCAAAGAUUUAUUGCCUUUGGAUGGGCGCUCGUUGGAUUCGCUAGUUGGUAGGGUAAUAGCAUACUAAGGCGACGAUCCAUAGCUGGUUUGAGAGAAGGAUCAGCCACACUGGGACUCAGACACGGCCCAGACUCCUACGGGAGGCAGGAGAGGGGAAUAGAGGACAAUGGGGGAAGGCAUGAUCCAGCAAUGCCGGGAAAGUUAUGAAGGCCGUGGGGUUGUAAUGCUCAUUUACCCGGGAUGAUAAUGACAGUACCGGGAGAAUAAGCUCCGGCUAACUCCGUG
This 433-nucleotide ribosomal RNA is filed under the name uncultured bacterium. Its description in RNAcentral is "partial 16S ribosomal RNA". It matches the Rfam family "Bacterial small subunit ribosomal RNA", at positions 29 to 507 of the family's 1533-position model. The record is from RNAcentral.